UACGGGGGGAGCAAGCGUUGUCCGGAUUUAUUGGGCGUAAAGAGCGUGUAGGCGGCCAGGUAGGUCUGGUGUGAAAACUCGAGGCUUAACCUCGAGAUGUCAUCGGAAACCAUCUGGCUAGAGUCCGGAAGAGGAGAGUGGAAUUCCUGGUGUAGCGGUGAAAUGCGCAGAUAUCAGGAAGAACACCAAUGGCGAAAGCAGCUCUCUGGGACGGUACUGACGCUGAGACGCGAAAGCGUGGGGAGCGAACAGG
Molecule: ribosomal RNA, 253 nt
Filed under: uncultured bacterium
Lineage: Bacteria
Description: partial 16S ribosomal RNA
Rfam family: Bacterial small subunit ribosomal RNA
Source: RNAcentral